RNAcentral lists this ribosomal RNA (480 nucleotides) under uncultured bacterium. RNAcentral describes it as "bacterial SSU rRNA". It matches the Rfam family "Bacterial small subunit ribosomal RNA", at positions 32 to 524 of the family's 1533-position model. The record is from RNAcentral.
AAUCAACGCUGGCGGCGUGCCUCAGACAUGCAAGUCGAACGAUUAAAGCUCUCUUCGGAGAGUGCAUAGAGUGGCGCACGGGUGAGUAACACGUAAGUAAUCUACCUUCGAGUGGGGAAUAACGUCCGGAAACGGACGCUAAUACCGCAUAAUGCAGCGGCAUCGCAAGAUGACAGUUGUUAAAGGAGCAAUUCGCUUGAAGAGGAGCUUGCGGCAGAUUAGCUUGUUGGUAAGGUAACGGCUUACCAAGGCUACGAUCUGUAACCGGUCUAAGAGGACGGUCGGUCACACUGACACUGAAUAACGGGUCAGACUCCUACGGGAGGCAGCAGUCGGGAAUUUUGGCAAUGGGGAACCCUGACCAGCAACGCCGCGUGAAGGAUGAAGUAUUUCGGUAUGUAAACUUCGAAAGAAUAGGAAGAAUAAAUGACGGUACUAUUUAUAAGGUCCGGCUAACUACGUGCCAGCCGCCGCCGUAAU